UACGUAGGGGGCAAGCGUUGUCCGGAUUUAUUGGGCGUAAAGAGCGUGUAGGCGGCCUGACAGGUCUGCUGUGAAAACUCGAGGCUCAACCUCGAGAUGUCGGCGGAAACCGUCUGGCUAGAGUCCGGAAGAGGAGAGUGGAAUUCCCAGUGUAGAGGUGAAAUUCGUAGAUAUUGGGAAGAACACCGGUGGCGAAGGCGGCGACCUGGUCCGAUACUGACGCUGAGGCGCGAAAGCGUGGGGAGCAAACAGG
Molecule: ribosomal RNA, 253 nt
Filed under: uncultured bacterium
Lineage: Bacteria
Description: partial 16S ribosomal RNA
Rfam family: Bacterial small subunit ribosomal RNA
Source: RNAcentral